CUCCUACGGGAGGCAGCAGUGGGGAAUUUUGGACAAUGGGGGCAACCCUGAUCCAGCAAUGCCGCGUGUGUGAAGAAGGCCUUCGGGUUGUAAAGCACUUUUGUCCGGAAAGAAAGCGCCCUGGCUAAUACCUGGGGUGGAUGACGGUACCGGAAGAAUAAGCACCGGCUAACUACGUGCCAGCAGCCGCGGUAAUACGUAGGGUGCGAGCGUUAAUCGGAAUUACUGGGCGUAAAGCGUGCGCAGGCGGUUUUGUAAGACAGGCGUGAAAUCCCCGGGCUUAACCUGGGAAUUGCGCUUGUGACUGCAAGGCUAGAGUGCGUCAGAGGGGGGUAGAAUUCCACGUGUAGCAGUGAAAUGCGUAGAGAUGUGGAGGAAUACCGAUGGCGAAGGCAGCCCCCUGGGACGUGACUGACGCUCAUGCACGAAAGCGUGGGGAGCAAACAGGAUUAGAUACCCUGGUAGUCCACGCCCUAAACGAUGUCAACUAGUUGUUGGGGAUUCAUUUUCUCAGUAACGUAGCUAACGCGUGAAGUGACCGC
Molecule: ribosomal RNA, 542 nt
Filed under: uncultured bacterium
Lineage: Bacteria
Description: bacterial SSU rRNA
Rfam family: Bacterial small subunit ribosomal RNA
Source: RNAcentral